This 386-nucleotide ribosomal RNA is filed under the name uncultured archaeon. Its description in RNAcentral is "bacterial SSU rRNA". It matches the Rfam family "Archaeal small subunit ribosomal RNA", at positions 474 to 859 of the family's 1478-position model. The record is from RNAcentral.
UACCGGCGGCUCGAGUGGUGGCCGAUAUUAUUGAGUCUAAAGGGUCCGUAGCCGGCUUUGCAAGUCCUAUGGGAAAUCCAGCGGCUUAACCGUUGGGCUUUCAUGGGAUACUACAUUGCUUGGGACUGGGAGAGGUAGGAGGUACUCAGGGGGUAGGGGUGAAAUCCUGUAAUCCUUUGGGGACCACCGGUGGCGAAGGCGUCCUACCAGAACAGGUCCGACGGUGAGGGACGAAAGCUAGGGGCACGAACCGGAUUAGAUACCCGGGUAGUCCUAGCCGUAAACGAUGCUCGCUAGGUGUCACGGCAGUCGUGAAUUGUCGUGGUGCCGUAGGGAAGCCGUGAAGCGAGCCACUUGGGAAGUACGACCGCAAGGUUGAAACUUAA